This 230-nucleotide non-coding RNA is filed under the name Gongylonema pulchrum. Its description in RNAcentral is "Eukaryotic small subunit ribosomal RNA". It matches the Rfam family "Eukaryotic small subunit ribosomal RNA", at positions 30 to 598 of the family's 1831-position model. The record is from Rfam by way of RNAcentral. Lineage: Eukaryota; Metazoa; Nematoda; Chromadorea; Rhabditida; Gongylonematidae.
GAUUUAUUCGCGGUUUUACUGGAAUUAUGUAAAAAAGGGUGCUCUCCUGGCUGGAGAUUCGAUGAGCAAGUCACCCACUCUCAGCAUCAGGAGGUCGUGACGAAAAAUAACGGGACCGUUAAUGUCUUGGAGGCCGGCUAUCGGAAUAGAUGCAAUUUAAACCCAUUAACGAGGAUCUAUGAGAGAGAAAGUCCCAUGCCAGCAGCCGCGGUAAUUCCAGCUCUCAAAUC